Long non-coding RNA from Gorilla gorilla gorilla (western lowland gorilla), 665 nucleotides. RefSeq lists it as uncharacterized. Lineage: Eukaryota; Metazoa; Chordata; Mammalia; Primates; Hominidae. The transcript has 3 exons. The record is from RefSeq and is a predicted model, not a curated record.
GGAAAGUGCAAAGAGGAUCAUGUGUUGUUCUUGUGUAUAAAAGAUUCCUUGAAGCAUCUUGGAUUAAGUCGUGCACAAGAUGGCUGAAUAGGAACAGCUCCGGUCUGCAGCUCCCAGCAAGAUCAACACAGAAGAAAUGGUGAAAAAACAUUGGAGAAAGUAUCCUGAAUCCUGCUUCUCAGAAGUGCAACUAGGAGUAUCCAGAAAUUAUUCUCUAGCAGUGACUUUGCAGGCAGCACAAUGCUGGAAGUUGCAGGGUCGUGUCUUGGAAGCCACUGAAAUGAUGAAUAGAUGAGGAACUGGAAAUUAUCUACCUUUCACACUAAUAAGAGGAGAGGAAAAACUUUCUACAAAAUCCAGUACUUUGCUUCUUCCCCUGCUAAAGUGCUAACAAGAGAUACAAAGACACCAUCGUAGGUCAGUAUGGGUGGCUCCUCUAGCCCUCCUACCCACAAAGGUAUGCCAUGCUCAAAUUUAGGAGACAGAAAUAAACUUUAUAGCCUUUAUUGUUUCACACAUAAGUGUGGAAAUAUUUCUUAACAUAAAGCCAAAUUAUAUAUAUAUAACAAAGCAAAUACUAAUUCCUCUGCCUCUGCUGAGUCAUUCACUUAGCACCAUACCAGGCCUAUAGAAUGGACUUAAGACAAAAUUAUUGAUUCACAAGU